GUGAUUGUAUCAUGUAUCACGUAGUCAGACAAGCUGCUAAUGCAAGCCGCACUUUUUCUAACCAGAAAAACGCACCUCCCCAUUUCUAUUUCAACUCACACGUUCAAGUUCUCUGGCCGAUAAAUCCACAUCUCCAAACCCUUCUAACGCCAAAAAACGAUACCCAUCAGAGCCCCGAAGAUCCACUUCAAUGUCUACUCAUGUUGAGAGGAACAGAAGAACUGAUAUCGAGCUAUAUUCCAGCAAAAACAAAAGUCUCUUCAAGGCCUUGCUUAGCAUGCGGAAGUCAAGAAAGGACAGCAAGUUGUACAAGUUCCUGGACGAGAACUAAGAAGAACAGGGGAUAAAGGAAACCGGAUAGACCCAUAUAUGAGUUUCUGUGCAUCGAAAGUGUACCUGAAUAUAUUGAAGAUCACUGUAAAUACAUUGAUUAUGCCGUAUAACUAAAAACGUUUCCGAUCAGACAGCUGCAAAUGAAUUUGGCACCAGAACGCUUCACAUAAAAACAGGAGCUCGACUGUACAGAUUUCAUGUGUGACAGGCACAAAAAUUCUUGCGCACUCCAUCCAGAUGCUUGACAGUAGCAAUAUUGUUGAUUGAGCAAUGGAUAUGGUUCAAAAUCCUAGAUCAAAACUGGGACACUCAGCCUUCACUAUCAAUGGAUCUCUAUCUCCUUCAAGGUCCAUUCUUUUAUCACUAGCAUCGCUGUGAGAACCGUGUGAAAGCGAUGCUUCAGAAACAAGAUUGUCACUGCAGCACUUGGGAUCAGCUUGCCCAUGAGAAGGCUGCAAACGUUAAUUGCAGCAGAUGUACAUGCUAGUCAUACAAAACUCAGUGAAAUUGAGAAUGUCCUCAAGGUAAAUAAAGAACUAGAUUUUGGACUGGGAUGCAUUAGAGAAUUCAAGCAAGUCCUCAUGCAUCUAGUUUGAACAUUCCCUGCAAGCAGUUGCUACCUGCUGCUAAUUUAAUUCAGUUUGGCCAGUAGUUUGGACGAAAGAGUUACAUCAAACAACAAAACUCAUUAAGUUCUGAUGGAAUUUCCUGAUGCUGAGAGUCACAAUCUUGCCACAGACGGGUCAAAAUAGAGCUGAAAGAAUCGAUUACUGAAAAUAGAGCAGGACAAGUAGCUGUGAAAUACCUGCGAGUUGGCAAUUGCAAAGUCCCCCAUCAAGUAAGAUUCAUUGAAUUCAGAGGCUAAUUCUGAUGAUAUUUUACAAUGUCAGAUGACGAAACAUAUAUUGCAACAAAGCUAACACUAGAAAUAAAAGAAUGCUGAAGUGAGUGAGAUUGCACUAAACCAACCUUUAGACUUCAUUAGACCAGGUAACUUUUCAUUGUUGGUAGUAUCAGUCAGAUUUCCAGUGUCCACAUUCUCCACUGAAGCCAGCUCAGCAGCUGGCGCUCUUUGUCUUUGAGCUCCAUCACAAAACUUCUCUGGAUCCUGAAGCUCCUUCGUUAGGGAAGCAAAACUUGCCUUCCUUUCAUAUGAAUUUUCAGCAAUGGCAACUUGAUCUAA
Long non-coding RNA from Eucalyptus grandis, 1516 nucleotides. RefSeq lists it as uncharacterized. The transcript is spliced from 2 exons. NCBI's taxonomy places the organism in Eukaryota, Viridiplantae, Streptophyta, Magnoliopsida, Myrtales, Myrtaceae. The record is from RefSeq and is a predicted model, not a curated record.